GAUGAACGCUGGCGGCGUGCCUAAUACAUGCAAGUAGAACGCUGAAGGAGGAGCUUGCUCUUCUGGAUGAGUUGCGAACGGGUGAGUAACGCGUAGGUAACCUGCCUGGUAGCGGGGGAUAACUAUUGGAAACGAUAGCUAAUACCGCAUGACAACAGUUAUUGCAUGAUAACUGUUUAAAAGUGGCAACUGCUCCACUACCAGAUGGACCUGCGUUGUAUUAGCUAGUAGUUGAGGUAACGGCUCACCAAGGCGACGAUACAUAGCCGACCUGUGAGGGUGGUCAGCCACACUGGGAGGGAGACAGGGCCCAGACUCCUAGGGGAGGCAGCAGGAGGGAAUCGUGGGCAAGGGGCGGAAGUCUGACCGAGAAACGCCGAGUGAGGGAAGAAGGUUUCCGGGUCGUAAAGCACUGUUGUAAGAGAAGAACGCGUGUGAGAGUGGAAAGUUCACACUGUGACGGUAUCUGACAAGAAAGGAACGGCUAACUACGUG
Molecule: ribosomal RNA, 495 nt
Filed under: uncultured bacterium
Lineage: Bacteria
Description: partial 16S ribosomal RNA
Rfam family: Bacterial small subunit ribosomal RNA
Source: RNAcentral